AGAAUCAACGCUGGCGGCGUUCCUAACACAUGCAAGUCGAACGAGAAAGGGUAGCAAUACCUGAGUAAAGUGGCGCACGGGUGAGUAACACGUGACUAACCUACCUUUUAGUGGGGGAUAACCUAGGGAAACCUGGGCUAAUACCGCAUAAUACCUACGGGUCAAAGCAGCAAUGCGCUGAAUGAGGGGGUCGCGGUCGAUUAGUUAGUUGGCAGGGUAAUGGCCUACCAAGACUGUGAUCGAUAUCCGGCCUGAGAGGGCGCACGGACACACUGGAACUGAAACACGGUCCAGACUCCUACGGGAGGCAGCAGUGGGAAUUUUGCGCAAUGGGGGAAACCCUGACGCAGCAACGCCGCGUGGAGGAUGAAGUCCCUUGGGACGUAAACUCCUUUCGAUCGGGACGAUAAUGACGGUACCGGAAGAAGAAGCCCCGGCUAACUUCGCGCCAGCAGCCGC
RNAcentral lists this ribosomal RNA (459 nucleotides) under uncultured bacterium. RNAcentral describes it as "SSU rRNA". It matches the Rfam family "Bacterial small subunit ribosomal RNA", at positions 26 to 518 of the family's 1533-position model. The record is from RNAcentral.